This 452-nucleotide long non-coding RNA is filed under the name Cyanistes caeruleus (blue tit). RNAcentral's name for it is "lncRNA (ENSCCEG00000014152.1)". Lineage: Eukaryota; Metazoa; Chordata; Aves; Passeriformes; Paridae. The record is from RNAcentral.
CUGAAAGCAUGGAGAGAAAUUUCAAGAUCCCUUAAGGGGCACAGCUGAGCCUGGUCUAUGAUGGAGCCACAAUGAUGUGUUUGUUUAUCAGUGCCUAAUACUCUCCUUUGGAGCUAACCUGAAGAUUCAAGGAUUAAAAUAGGCAAACCUGGCAUAGCCCAAUCACAGAGCCUUUGUGGAAUGAUGGAAAAGCCUGAAAGGUCAGCUGGGGACUCAAGUGGUCUGGGAAGCCCUGUGGUCAGGCAGGCUUUGUAGACAACAACUUCUCUCCAUGGACAUUUAGUGGGUGCUGCCUGCAGAGCUCUCCGUUUGAGCAAGUCAAUAAUAACCUGAUACUGGGAGGGACUGAGAGCCUUCAGAUACUAAGGAACUCUGUUGCUUGGAGACCUGCAUUUUUCUACCUGUGCUCAAAACAGUGGACAUUUUUAAUGCAGCCAACAAUGAUGAAGUAG